AAAAUUUCUAGAUUAUUUUUAGUAUUUAUUUUGCUUGCACAAACUACUUUUUAAUUCCCGGUCCAGUCACCUAGUGUUUUCAUUGAUUUCCUGAUAAUCAGAAAGUGACAAUCAUUAGUCCUUAGCUACUUAUUAAGGCAGGUUAUAGACAUAGUGUAAAUAACUGAUUAUGAGCAAACACAAGAUAUGAUCUCACUUAGUAUCAUAACUAUAAUGUAAUCAAUCUAUUUAACCAUAUAAAUGCCAAAUGAAGUCUGCAUUGGGAUUUCCCUGAAAUAAC
Non-coding RNA from Pelobates cultripes (western spadefoot toad), 280 nucleotides. NCBI's taxonomy places the organism in Eukaryota, Metazoa, Chordata, Amphibia, Anura, Pelobatidae. The record is from the annotation of a GenBank genome assembly.